AAGGCUUGACAUACAGGGAAAACUGUCAGAGAUGGCAGGUCCGCAAGGGCCCUGUACAGGUGGUGCAUGGUUGUCGUCAGCUCGUGUCGUGAGAUGUUGGGUUAAGUCCCGCAACGAGCGCAACCCUCGUUCUAUGUUGCCAGCGGAUAAUGCCGGGGACUCAUAGGAGACUGCCGGGGUCAACUCGGAGGAAGGUGGGGAUGACGUGAGCCUAUCGAGA
This 220-nucleotide unclassified non-coding RNA is filed under the name uncultured Actinomycetes bacterium. Its description in RNAcentral is "uncultured actinobacterium contains 16S-23S intergenic spacer region". It matches the Rfam family "Bacterial small subunit ribosomal RNA", at positions 978 to 1198 of the family's 1533-position model. Lineage: Bacteria; Bacillati; Actinomycetota; Actinomycetes. The record is from RNAcentral.